UGCUUUUGUAGGCCCUAAAAAUGGGGUCCGCGGCUCAUCGCGUCAAGCUCGGAUCCCACUAAACCGAGGGCUGCCAUGGAUGCACGGAGCGGGGAGGCCAGGAUACGCAUCACACAGACGGAGGUGACACUCAAACACACCGCUGUGUAACAGAAGGGCGACACCUCGGGUUUUGCAAAAAAGCACCUCCGAGCCUUCGGGUUGGCAGCGAGUGUCAGAACGUUCUGUUUUGAAAAAUUCUGGCAGUGGCAGAAGAACAGACAAAUUCUAAUGGAAGCUCGACGUCUACAGAUAGGCUCUCCAUGGAUGGGAUUCUAAAGAUCUAUCUUUAGGGGGAGUUCCCCGAAGUCUCCGCAAGGAACAGAGCUGCGGAUUUCAAACGCGGUCCACUUCGAUUCGCGCAGUGCCUGCAUACCUGCUUCAAUAGAAGGGAGCGAUACUCACCCGAGUGUGCGGACAGCCCAGAGGUCCCUGCAGCACCCGUGUCCUCAGUGGAAUGCCAUCUUGCAUCCGCGGAAGCUCCCAGCCUCCACUCGAUGUUAACAUUUACGCUAUCUCAAAUACCAGGCUCUCCCAUAGACAUUUUUUCCAGGGUUUUCAAGCAAAUUUCUCGGUGCCAUAACAUUAUGAUGGAAGGAUGCUGAAAUGACAGGCCUCGUAGACGCUUGUCUUAAUCAUCGGCUUCUUAAUUUAGUUUUAGUGCUAUGGUUUUGUGUGUGCGCGUGUGUGUCUGCGCGUGUGUGCGCGCAAGAGAAGGCUCUGACAACCUGCAGCUUCCUAAUGACUGACGAGGCAGGGCUGCUGCCGCAAAGUAACACUUCCCUGGUGUGAAGACCUCUCACUGGGAAGUUUAGUUCACUACUGUUCUCGCAAUGCUAAUCGUAUAACCUGUAACCAAAACCCAGGCAAGAAGGAUACAGCAUGCUAAAUAGAGUAACUUCUAAUCACUAAACGUUAGCACUACGACCAGCUGUUAGGGAUUAACUGAAAGUCGGUUAGAGACAGACACCUAAACUUAAAUAUACAAACGCGGAUGUAAGGGUGGACCGCUGAAUACGUCUUCCUCUCUCUCUUAGCUUCCAUUCAUUCCUCCACCUCCAGUCCCAUUCACCCCUCUUCAAUCUGUAUGACCACCUCUCGCCUUUGUUAGCGCUGCGUUCCGGCCCCGCUCGCCCUGCCCGAGCAGCGGGAUAUCGCUGUCUGCUGAGCUGCUCUUACCUUAAUUGCCCAGGUAACCUGGAAUAAAUAAGACAAGCUUAGAAUCCGGGGGAUAGAGUUAUAAAUGCGUACGUCCAGGCAUUUACUGUACCCAACGCGAUGUUAGAGGUUGUUAAUCUAAGGUGUCCCGACUCUUUUCGUGGACACAUGAUGCCAUCGAAGCGUGGUUAUUAAAUACUCUUUCUUCAUGGCUGAAAAAACCCUCAUUCAUUCCUUAAGCUGUCAGGACAUUUUAGCAGCUUAACCCCUUGGAAGAGCCUGGGAGUGCAGAGCCGCUGUAUUCGUGUGAAGGGGGACUGGAGGCUGGAGCCGCGGGGGGUGUGGGGGCCACAGCAUAUCUGCAUCCAUCGAGCUGACAGUGGUACUCUUUUCCUUCGGCCUUUAAUUAAAAAAAAAAAAAAAAAAAAAGAAAGAAAGAAAAAAAAGAAAAAAAAAAGAAAAACAUACAGGGGGAAAUCUGCGGUGAAUCAUUACCAGUAAGAGUAGUAUCCAGAAUCUGUAUUCAAACCGCACGGCAGCCCUUUGGAUGGCACUUGAGCUGGGGGUCCCCACCCUCACCCCGGAGCAGGACUCCCUCGGCCCCACAGCGCCACACGGGUCCCUGAGAGUGGGGAACACAGAGCUACCCCUCCUAGCACUGGCUGUGCCCCACCGGGCUGGGGCCGUGCACUCCCUUCUCCGCUCAGGCUGUUUCACCAGGCACUCCACCAACAUUUUCAUGCUAGAAAGUGCUAAAUUUUUGGACCCUCUCACAGGAAUUCGAGUGCAGACGGAGCUGAGAGGGUCAAAGCAGCCACUUAUUCAGAGCCACCAUAUACAAAGCUACCACUGAAGUGGACGGAAGCUGCGGCCAGGUCAGAGCUAACAGAAUUGGCAUUAGAGCAGGACUUCGAGUGCCCAAAGUCAAUAGUCCCACUUUUAUACAUGGGGAAUUUCCAGAGCGGUUUUUAAGGAAAAAAAAAAAAAAGAAAAAAGAAAAGAAAAGAAAAAAAACAGACUCGAAAAUUAAAGUCCACUAGAAAUAAUUGACGUGCUUUUCCUACAUAUCCUUUUCUGUCCUAUAAACAAGGAAUUAAUCUCACGGGCUUGGAACAAUACGCACUACAUAUUGAACGCAACAUUUCCUUUUUUGGUAGAACUGUAUAUCCGUGGCGCUAAAAAAAAUACAUCAUAUAAAUCCUAAAUUUGUGCACAGUACUUUAUUCUGCUGCCGUGAUAAAUGACCGAAUAUUAAGCCCAGAUCAUCAAACGCUGUGAAAACACAUCGCUGUCUGUAUUGGACCUUUGCUCAGAAAUGCAAAAGGACGAAGGUUUUCUUUCCUUCUCUGCUACAUUCUCAUCCCUGAACGCAGAGCUAAGCAGACUCAGCUUUGACCUAAGGAACACCUCAGAGCAUUAAAAUUUCAGCAGGCGAUGUCAGCGUUACAUUAAACGAGAGCUCCUCCGGUUCGCUGCAGAGCUGGGAUUUGAAUAAAACGCUCAAUGUUAACAAACAAUACACACGUUUGGCACUUUGUGUAUUAAAUGGAUCAAAGGGAUUUGAUAAGGCACAAUACCCCGUUUGUACAGACCUGAUUGAGUUAAUAUAAUAUCAGCAAAUUUUACAGCGAAAUGAAUCCGUUUCUUUUCUUUGUGUUUAAAACCAGCGCAGAUUACAAAUUUUAAUGAUCUGAAAAUGUUUGGUAUACAAAAUCAUGCUUAUUUCAGUAUUAGCAAAAACACAAGAAAUUUUUCAACACAAACACCCAGCUGUGUCUAUUUUAAAAGCAGUUCAAUGACAGCUUGCACUUAUGAGCAUGCAAUCAGCUAAUUUCGCUUUUUUUUUUUCUUCUGUGUUAAUCAACACUUUCCUUCCUGCAUAUCAGAGUACAAAUAGUAUAGUUACUCCACAGCAGUAAAUGUUUACGUAACCUGUCCUUUCUCAAGAAUCCGGUUACACCGAAUCAUUACAUGCUAGACCGAGUAGGAAAACGCACAGGGCCCAACCGCCCCGAUGGGAUCUUGCUGCACCGCAUUGACAUAUAUUGGUUAAUGCCCAUCAGAACCAUAAUAAUAUGCACAGAGCUUACCUUUCCUCUUACCCCAGCACCGCAGAGCUCAGUCACAUCCUCCACACUGCGCUCUUCCUCAGGAGUUCCCAUAUAUUGGCUUCAGGGUUGUGCAAGGAAAUAAUUACAAAUUAUGAUAUUAAAAACCAAAAACAAACAAACAAAAAAAACCCAGAAAUUCUACAAAAUAAAAUAAAAAAAAAACGAAGGUAGUUGAUCAUUGACUUCUACUUCUUUUUGGUCAGUAGCAACCUGUUACGGAAUUGGAUAAAUAAAUACAAUUGUGGUGAGGUCAAGCGAGGUUAAUCCAAUGCACAUAGUUCGUGCCAUGCCCAACUGCAAUUGUUUAUUGCCCAUCCACGGCAAUUGUUGUGGGGAUUUACUCUCUCUUUCUCACAGCCUCUCUCUCGCACACACGCACAUACCCACAAACGCAUACAGAAAAGGCACAGAGCCGUGGUGGUUGCACUGGAAUAUGCACUGGGUUUCCCGGGACACACAGCUGGGGCAGGGCUGCGGGUGUUAUUUCAACGGAACCAUUUCUCCAGCGGGACAAACGUAAACUUUGGCUGGUUGAAAGCAGCGACGGGCACCGGCUGUACGUUGUGUUGCACAGCGCUCAGUUUAAACGCGAGCGGUACUCUAUCACUCACAUUUCCCUUUCUCCUUUCAGCACGAGGAAGCCGCGGGGCUCAUUUCGCUUUGUUUCGCGGCCGAUUCUCAUUUCUGCCCGUACUCACAGCGGUAACGCCGUGAUGCGGUCGAGCAGCGCCGAGCCCAGGCGGCGCGCAGCCCGCUUCGUGAGCCCCUGAACCAACGCUACCGCCGGAACGGAGCCCCCGUUCCCCUUCCCGCGGCUCACACUGAGCCCCGCCGGGGCCGUCGGAGGCGCUGCGAGGGGCGCUGCGCCGGAGCCCGCGGGGCUCCGGGUGGUACGGGGCCUCUUAAUUCGUUCGGCGGCGCUGCUGCUCCGCAGGCCUCGGCCAGAGGCCUCUACCCGCCCGGCGCUGUCCGGCGCUGUCGCCGCCGCAUCGGGCCCGAGCCCUUCCAUCGCACAGCCCCGGCCCAGCCCCAGCUGCAGCGCCCGCCCCGCCGUCCCGACCCCUCCGGCUGAGUUUCGUUACUCCCCGUUGGUUAAAUAAAUAACAACAGCGCGGCGGGGCCCGGGAACACACUGCCGACGGGCGCCGUCGGGAUCCGCCAAGUAGUACCUCCGCUCCGGCACCGCGCGGAUUGCGCGCCCCCCCCCGCCCCCGGCUCCCGUCCGCCUCCUGCCCCGGUGGCACGGACGGACGGGGCAACUUUGCUCCACCGGAGGAGUUACCGAGCGGAACCCCGGAACCAAGCGCCGUUGGUUGGGCACGAGGGGAUUAGUGCCGUUGCGCGGAGGGGGACGGCCGGUGAUGCGCCCCGCACCGG
Molecule: long non-coding RNA, 4685 nt
Organism: Gallus gallus (chicken)
Lineage: Eukaryota; Metazoa; Chordata; Aves; Galliformes; Phasianidae
Source: Ensembl